GACGAACGCUGGCGGCGUGCUUAACACAUGCAAGUCGAACGAAGUGGCGAACGGGUGAGUAACGCGUAAUCAACCUGCCCUUCAGAGGGGGACAACAGUUGGAAACGACUGCUAAUACCGCAUACUGAAGGAGGGGAUUGCGUCUGAUUAGCUAGUUGGAGGGGUAACGGCCCACCAAGGCGAUGAUCAGUAGCCGGUCUGGGGGGGUGGACGGCCAAAUUGGGACUGAGGAACGGGCCAGACUCCUACGGGGGGCAGCAGUGGGGAAUCAUCCGCAAUGGAGGAAAGGCUGACGGAGCAACGGCGCGGGGGUGAUGACGGCCUUCGGGUUGUAAAGCUCUGUUAAUCGGGACGCGGUACCGGAAUAGAAAGCCACGGCUAACUACGUGCCAGCAGCCGCGGUAAUUC
Molecule: ribosomal RNA, 408 nt
Filed under: uncultured bacterium
Lineage: Bacteria
Description: partial 16S ribosomal RNA
Rfam family: Bacterial small subunit ribosomal RNA
Source: RNAcentral